This 449-nucleotide ribosomal RNA is filed under the name Macugonalia leucomelas. Its description in RNAcentral is "partial large subunit ribosomal RNA". The record is from RNAcentral. Lineage: Eukaryota; Metazoa; Arthropoda; Insecta; Hemiptera; Cicadellidae.
UUAUUAAAGGUAAGUCCUGCCCUAUGAUUAGUUAAAUGGCUGCAGUAUUCUGACUGUGCAAAGGUAGCAUAAUAAUUAGUCUUUUAAUUGAAGACUUGUAUGAAAGGAUAGAUGAAAGGUUUAUUUUAUUAAUUAAAUAUUUUUAAUUUAAUUUUUUUGUAAAAAAGCUAAAUUGGUUUUUUGGGACGAUAAGACCCUAUAGAACUUUAUUAUUAAAUUUUUUUAUUUAUUUUUAGAUUUUUAUUUAUGUAUUAAAUUUUAUUUUUUUAUUGGGGUGAUAAAUAAAUUUUACUUUAUUUGUUUUUUUCAUUAAUUUAUGUUAUAAUGAUCCACUUUGUGAUUUUAAGAUUAAGUUACCUUAGGGAUAACAGCGUAAUUUUAAUGGGGAGUUCAUAUCUAUAUUAAAGUUUGCGACCUCGAUGUUGAAUUAAGAUAAGAAUGAGGGGUAG